RNAcentral lists this transfer RNA (72 nucleotides) under Dictyota dichotoma. RNAcentral describes it as "tRNA-Asn". It matches the Rfam family "tRNA". From Rfam's summary of the family: Transfer RNA (tRNA) molecules are approximately 80 nucleotides in length. The record is from RNAcentral. Lineage: Eukaryota; Phaeophyceae; Dictyotales; Dictyotaceae.
UCCUUGGUAGCUCAGCAGGUAGAGCAAAUGGCUGUUAACCAUUGGGUCGUUGGUUCAAUCCCAACUUAAGGA